This 434-nucleotide ribosomal RNA is filed under the name uncultured bacterium. Its description in RNAcentral is "bacterial SSU rRNA". It matches the Rfam family "Bacterial small subunit ribosomal RNA", at positions 8 to 447 of the family's 1533-position model. The record is from RNAcentral.
AGAGUUUGAUCAUGGCUCAGAUUGAACGCUGGCGGCAGGCCUAACACAUGCAAGUCGAGCGCGAAAACACUUCGGUGUGAGUAGAGCGGCGGACGGGUGAGUAAUGCUUGGGAAUCUGCCCAGUAGUGGGGGAUAACGUGUGGAAACGCACGCUAAUACCGCAUACGUCCUACGGGAGAAAGCAGGGGAUCUUCGGACCUUGCGCUAUUGGAUGAGCCCAAGUCAGAUUAGCUAGUUGGUGAGGUAAUGGCUCACCAAGGCGACGAUCUGUAGCUGGUCUGAGAGGAUGAUCAGCCACACUGGGACUGAGACACGGCCCAGACUCCUACGGGAGGCAGCAGUGGGGAAUAUUGCACAAUGGGCGAAAGCCUGAUGCAGCCAUGCCGCGUGUGUGAAGAAGGCUCUAGGGUUGUAAAGCACUUUCAGUGGGGAGG